Long non-coding RNA from Gasterosteus aculeatus aculeatus (three-spined stickleback), 1462 nucleotides. RefSeq lists it as uncharacterized. The record is from RefSeq and is a predicted model, not a curated record. NCBI's taxonomy places the organism in Eukaryota, Metazoa, Chordata, Actinopteri, Perciformes, Gasterosteidae.
ACUAUUAACAGAAUCACGUCAUUGACCGAAGGCUAAAUUGUGAUGAAUUAUUCUCUUUCAUCUUUGCAGGCUUGGAAACAUGAAUGUCACUUGUAUGAAUGGUUUUCUUCUGUGAUGUCUAAAUGGUGUCAUUUGCUCCAGAUGCCCGCCUCUGUCUAUUUGAUGUGAGGACCAUCAGAAGUGAAAGGUGCUUUGGUGUCGAUUUGCACCUGAAAGCUUUAGUCCACUCGUCGCUGAUUGAUUAUGAAAGUGAAUUCUGCUCAACAUUUUUGCUUUAAAACAAUUGUGUAAUUGUUUGUAUGUCUUUCUGCACAUUCAGACAUCUCUCUGCUGCUCGCAAACACUCCCGCGCACUUCCAAAUGCUGGUCCCUCCCCAUCAGAUAUGCUCCAAGUCUAGACAACGUACCGGCGGACGGAGCAAGAAAAUGAGGAGGACCGGUUAGUGGCUCCUGGCUGACUGAGUCGGAUCCGACACCAUUAGUCCGACUCGCCGGCUCAUGUGCACAACUGGCUUCUUAAAGAAGUUUAGGCCUGAGUAGCCUCGCAGACGCUGCGUUCCAGCCCCUCUGUUUUACAUCUGAGCCUGAUGAAUCCCUCACGUCUCCGGUAGGCCUGUCAUACCGCCAAUCACUGCAAGGACCCAUCACCACGGCAACAACGGGGGUGUCGUGGACACAUUCUGUUUUAUCGAUAGCAAUCACAAAACUAAUUUCUGUCGUCCUAGUCGUGCUGUCACACACGUGUAGGAUGCUGAGAGCAUCGAUCAUCGCCCUCGUAUCUCCUCUGAAGAAACAACACAAGCGAUCCACUCAGCUGGCAAAGAGAUGGAGACAAAGUGUCAGGACAGCGCUGAAGUACAUCAGAGAUGAUAUUAAAUUCAGGCCUUAAUGCCGAACAUCCCAAAAAAUAAAGCUUCAUCAACUCCAGCAAAUCAAAUCCAAUGACAAAUGACUAACAAACGGUAGCGGAUGAAGUAUUCAUCCUUUAUUUAACCUAUUUUAGAAACCAACUUCUCUGCUGGAAGGACGUUUGUCAUUAUCAUUUUAAAGAGAAAGCCUAGGAAAUAUGAAGUUGGCACAUGGAAUAUGAAAUAUGUGAGCAAUUACCAGGAAACAAGGGGGUAAAAAAGUUGCCACUUUGUUUCAUUAUAAGAAUUGUUGCACAGACCAAUUUAGGAGCUUGAGCCACACUGGAGCAGAUUUCUUUGCGAUUGGCCUCAGCUGCUCCGAUGUUGAUGUCUCAUUUUAAUAAGCUUUAUGAAACUGCAACGCAAAAAUGUUGUAGCACUUUUUGAAGUUGUAAAACUUCUUGAUGAAAACCCUGUUACUUUGUUACCCAUGUUACUUUGUAUUAAAAAGGUUUUUUGUUGUGGAUUAAUUUUGUGAAUUUAAGUAAAAUGUAUGAAAUUGACAGUUUAUUGUCUUAUAUGUAUAAACGUUGUCUGGCACAAGCUGAAAACGA